CCAUGGAGCUGCGUUCUCCAUGGUGACCCUGGAAGACCGCAGAAGACCCUGGGGAAGAUGGAGCUGGCGUGAGUCCAGAGGUCCUGGUGUUUCACAGCUGUGUGCUGCGGUUUCCACCACCGGAUCCCGUUCAUCACCCAGCUGCAGUGAAUGAGCGACUUGGGUUGUGGAAUGCUGUGGAUGACAACAGUAGGUGUAACAGACAUGACAGGAAGGAGGAGAUCAAAAUCAAAGCGGCAGUGGGCAGCAAUGGGCAACAAAUGCCCUGACAUUGAUUUUAAAGAAAACUCUCAGAAUAGAGGAAUUAUCAAAAUAAACAGUCUCGUGGUGGCCUCUUUUAUGUAAUGUCUUGUGUUUUCUAU
This 362-nucleotide long non-coding RNA is filed under the name Equus caballus (horse). Its description in RNAcentral is "lncRNA (ENSECAG00000056182.1)". Lineage: Eukaryota; Metazoa; Chordata; Mammalia; Perissodactyla; Equidae. The record is from RNAcentral.